RNAcentral lists this unclassified non-coding RNA (441 nucleotides) under uncultured Frankia sp. RNAcentral describes it as "partial 16S-23S ribosomal RNA intergenic spacer". The stretch from base 309 to 441 matches the Rfam family "Bacterial large subunit ribosomal RNA", at positions 1 to 132 of the family's 2925-position model. The record is from RNAcentral. Lineage: Bacteria; Bacillati; Actinomycetota; Actinomycetes; Frankiales; Frankiaceae.
UUGCGGCUGGAUCACCUCCUUUCUAAGGAGCAUCUCCUGAUGGUUCACCUCUGAAGGGUGAGCGGACAGGCAGAGCCACUUCCACAGCGAGUGUCUGUGGGUGGUGCUCAUUAACCAAGUAACACUACUGGUCUUUCUUUCGGCACACUGUUGGGUCCUGAGGCAACACGCGCUGCGUGCGCUGCUUCUGCUGACCAGAACGAUUCGGACUUGAAACCAGCGGAGAUUGGUUCGUGGAGGUCUUGUCAGGGAAGAGUUGUUCUUGGUGUGGUGUUUGAGAACUGUACAGUGGAUGCGAGCAUCUUUGUGGUCAAGUUGUUAAGAGCAUACGGUGGAUGCCUUGGCACCAGGAGCCGAUGAAGGACGUAAGAGGCUGCGAUAACCCUCGGGGAGCUGUCAACCGAGCUGUGAUCCGAGGAUUUCCGAAUGGGGAAACCCGGA